Molecule: ribosomal RNA, 400 nt
Filed under: phytoplankton environmental sample
Lineage: Eukaryota
Description: partial small subunit ribosomal RNA
Rfam family: Eukaryotic small subunit ribosomal RNA
Source: RNAcentral
AGCUCCAAUAGCGUAUAUUAAAGUUGUUGCAGUUAAAAAGCUCGUAGUUGGAUUUUGAGUUUUGUAAGCUUGGUCUACUAUUUAGUAGUACUGACUUGCUGGCUCUUCUUCUCGAGGCCUAUGAGUGCACUUAACCGUGUGUUCAUAGUGUUCGGGACUUUUACCGUGAGAAAAUUAGAGUGUUCAUAGCAGGCUUUUGCUUGAAUAUUGCAGCAUGGAAUAAUGGAAUAGGAUCAUGAUCUUAUUUUGUUGGUUUCUAAGAUCAAGAUAAUGAUUAAUAGGGAUAGUUGGGGGCGUUAAUAUUUAGUUGUCAGAGGUGAAAUUCUUAGAUUUACAAAAGAUUAACUUCUGCGAAAGCAUUCGCCAAGGAUGUUUUCGUUAAUCAAGAACGAAAGUACGC